CGUGCUAGGAUGAACGCUAGCGACAGGCCUAACACAUGCAAGUCAGGGGCGAGCACAAGGAGCAAUACUGAGGUGGCGACCGGCGGCACGGGUGAGUAACACGUAUGCAACCUGCCUGUAAGCGGGGAAUAACCCGUUGAAAGACGGACUAAUACCGCAUAAUACUAAAUUACUGCAUGGUAAUUAUUUAAACAUUUAUGGCUUACAGAUGGGCAUGCGCAUGAUUUAGCUAGUUGGAGAGGUAACGGCUCCCCAAGGCAACGAUCGAUUAGGGGUUCUGAGAGGAAGGUCCCCCACACUGGUACUGAGACACGGACCAGACUCCUACGGGAGGCAGCAGUGAGGAAUAUUGGUCAAUGGACGAGAGUCUGAACCAGCCAAGUCGCGUGCAGGAAGAAUGUCCCUAUGGAUUGUAAACUGCUUUUGCGAGGGGAAUAAAGUGCAUCACGUGUGAUGUUUUGUAUGUACUCUGCGAAUAAGGAUCGGCUAACUCCGUGCCAGCCGCAGC
RNAcentral lists this ribosomal RNA (508 nucleotides) under uncultured bacterium. RNAcentral's name for it is "bacterial SSU rRNA". It matches the Rfam family "Bacterial small subunit ribosomal RNA", at positions 26 to 518 of the family's 1533-position model. The record is from RNAcentral.